RNAcentral lists this long non-coding RNA (983 nucleotides) under Gossypium raimondii (Peruvian cotton). RNAcentral's name for it is "long non-coding RNA (GRAI_LNC010749)". The record is from RNAcentral. Lineage: Eukaryota; Viridiplantae; Streptophyta; Magnoliopsida; Malvales; Malvaceae.
UUUAUCCUUUAAAAGUUUCAAAAAAAUCUCCCUUUUGAAACCUAACCCCCAUAAUAUCAACUUUUUCUUCCUCCAAUCUCAUAAGAUCUUUACCCAACGGAUUUAACGCUGUAAAUAUAGAAUUGACCAAAAAUUUUUUCGUGUUUUUUACUUUUUGAUUUCAGUUGUUUUCCUGGUUACGCCUAGAUUUGCACUCAAUGGCCAUCCAUGGGCCGAAAGCUUCCCCCAUCGUCGCUGGAGUUACUUCCUUGACCACCGGGUUUGAAUCAUCUCCUUUGCCAUCAUCAUUGCUCCAACCUUCCAAACAAAAAGAUCAAAGAUUUUUUAGAUGCCCAUAUUUGCCACAGGUAAAGCAUACCACGGGUAAAGCCUCAAACUUCACCCUUUGUACCCUCUCAUUGAUCAAAACUUGCGAGGUAAGUGGUUUUUUCAGAUCGACAAACACUGCCAUCAUGGUAAACUGAUCCCUUGCUCCACUAUUUGUUUUGAUAUCUAACUUUGCCACUUUUCUGACCAAACUCCCAAUCUCCUCUAGAACCCAAUUCUUGUAUAGAAAUCUCGGUAAACCCGAGAAACGGAUCCAGGCCAGAAUCAUGCUUGGAAAAGGUUUCAACGUGUUAAAAUCCACCAUUCACGGUAGGACUAUAAGAUAGUGUCCAAACACUAUUUACGGACCUUGAGUCAGAGCCAUCUCGUAGUCGACCUUGUUUUGGAAACCGACUAAGUAAUAGUCAUUUUCCAUGUCCAUUACCCGAAAAGAUUGGAAGGGUUUUCCAGAGACUGGAGAUUUGAUUACAAAGGACGCCAUAUCCUAUACUAUGCCCCAAUAGUUUGACGACAAUAGUAGUCUCCAUAUCUUUGACCAGUAAUAUUUUGAUUCAUUUCGAGAAGUUGAUGGUGGGGAUUCCAUUCACGGUGGAUCUAAAAAUGUCCCCAUCUUCAAACUCUAGAUCUACAUCAGGAGUAUCAGUCGAGAUCGUGGG